Molecule: ribosomal RNA, 402 nt
Filed under: uncultured prokaryote
Description: bacterial SSU rRNA
Rfam family: Bacterial small subunit ribosomal RNA
Source: RNAcentral
UGGGGGAUAUUGCACAAUGGGGGAAACCCUGAUGCAGCAACGCCGCGUGAAGGAAGAAGAUCUUCGGAUUGUAAAGCUCUGUCAACAGGGACGAUAAUGACGGUACCUGUGGAGGAAGCCACGGCAAACUACGUGCCAGCAGCCGCGGUAAUACGUAGGUGGCAAGCGUUGUCCGGAAUAACUGGGCGUAAAGCGCAUGUAGACGGCAUAGCAAGCCAAGUGUGAAAUUUAGGGGCUUAACCUCUAAACUGCGCUUGGAACUGCUGAGCUUGAGUGCAGGAGAGGCAAGUGGAAUUCCCAGUGUAGCAGUGAAAUGCGUAGAUAUUGGGAGGAACACCAGUGGCGAAGGCGACUUGCUGGACUGCAACUGACGUUGAGAUGCGAAAGCUAGGGGAGCAAACG